RNAcentral lists this ribosomal RNA (321 nucleotides) under uncultured eukaryote. Its description in RNAcentral is "partial 18S ribosomal RNA". It matches the Rfam family "Eukaryotic small subunit ribosomal RNA", at positions 1470 to 1796 of the family's 1831-position model. The record is from RNAcentral.
CCCUUAGAUGUCCUGGGCCGCACGCGCGCUACACUGACAUGUUCAACAAGCCUCCUAGUUCGACAGGAUUUGGGAAAUCUUUUAACGCAUGUCGUGAUAGGGAUAGAUCAUUGCAAUUAUUGAUCUUGAACGAGGAAUUCCUAGUAAACGCGAGUCAUCAGCUCGCAUUGAUUACGUCCCUGCCCUUUGUACACACCGCCCGUCGCACCUACCGAUUGAAUGUUUCGGUGAAGAUUCCGGAUAGGACUUUUUUGAUUUAUUUCAAUUCUGUCUUAAAAGCUAUCUAAACCUCAACAUUUAGAGGAAGGUGAAGUCGUAACA